AGAAAGUUAGAAACCUUUCUCAAAAAACGAGCUGCUCUGGCUCUAUAGGAAAACAAGCAUACAUUAGGUUGCCAGCUGGUUAAGAGGAAAUAAUCCGCAAUUUCGGUUAAUUUGUUUUUGUGACUGUGUGGAACCCAGUUCAGCUACUGAUUGAUUGUGUGACUGCGGAAAUGGAUAAAAGCCCCCAUCCAAACAAUGACUAUCAUCAGUGCAGGCAGAGGUUAAGACAAGGAGCUAUAUAGGGAAGCAAAGUCCCACCCCACAAUAUAACCACUGGAAAUCUUCAUCCACCCGCCUGGUUUAUGAGAUUUCACCAGCAUUGCAGACAAAACUUAAAGCCCACCUUCACAAGACAUCUAAGAUGCUGAAGAAACAGGAUCCCUUGCACAGGAACACAGUAAGUUUUUCAGUCUGGCAUGGAAUACACACAAGCUGACUCUCAAGUCACACAGGUUCUUCCUUUUGUUAUACUUUAUGAACACCUACUCUCUGUUUGCAUCUGUUUCAAUCAUUUUUCAAGGUAUCAGAAAUAAUGGGGGGGCGGCAGAAAAAAGAAAAGCUCCCAUAUAUUUUCUGGGCCUCUGUAUCUCUCAUUGUAGAACAGCAGAAACAACAAGGUAGCACAUAACAUCCUUAUAACGCUAAAGCAAUAUCCCAGAAACCAUUUAAGUAAAUACACUUAGGGUUUGAACAGCUCUAAAAGCAAAGCAACCAUCUUCAGGAAUUGGCAUAAGGCUGUGCAAGUCAUGUAUCCUUUGGAAGAAGAUUACUGAAGCUCUCCUCAUGGAUUACUGAAUCUCUUGUCAGGGUUUGGGGUUGUGGGGAGAGACAAUCAAAGCAUCAAACCAAAAUGCUCAAAAACCAAACGGAAUCUGAAGCGAAGAGAAAAUUACUUGCGCAAAACAAUAUAAAAUUAUGAGUGCUGAGGGGGAAAGGAUACUAGAACAGGGUCAUCCAAUAAAACUGAUUUGGCAUAGGCCAAGGACAGGGAAAGGAACAUACUUCUGCACACAGCAUAUUAUUGCAGUGAAUUCAAUACCCAGAUGUGAUAACUUAGUAUUUUAAAAAAGAAAAGAGCAUUGAACAUGUUUAUGGAGAAGACCAUCAACUGCUAUAAGUGGAAAUUAUUCUUCCACAGUCUCUUACAUCCAUCUUUGGAUGUACACUUCUUCCAAGUUCUAUCCAGCAUUCUAUGUUGUUUGCUUCCUGCUGUUAGUUUUAGAUUGUGCACCCAUUGUAUACGGGGCCAUACCCUUCGACUUUUGAAACUGAAGGUCUCCAGUUACCAGAUAUUGGCACAAAGCAACAGGGAAUGAGAGUUGCCUUCAUCCACUGCUGGGAAGGGUGGGGCAUUCCAGGGGAUCUACUUGGCCAAUGCUGCAUCAGAAUGCUGGCCUAAAUAGAUCCAAUGUAACAUGGUAGCUGAAGUAUACAGAGAGCAGAAGCUGAUGCUGAGAAAAUAUAGCGGUACGAGAUAGGAACAAGAAAACACUGCCCUUAAGUGAAACACAGAGAGGCCCAGACAGAAGGUUUCAUACGUCUCACAAGCAUUCAGUUCAUUCAGCUGCUGAUCUCCCAAGGCGUUAUUUAUUUUUAAAACCUGUAUCCCAUCCAUCGCCCUGGGGGGUUCAUGGCUCCGGUGCUCUUCCACUGCCACCACUCACUUCAACCCCCACAACAACCCUGUGAGGUGGGUGGCUAGUUCAAGGUCACCCUAACCAGCUUCAGAACCAAAUAGUGGGGGAAUGAAGCCAGGAUUCCCACCCCCCUCACACACCAAGGUCCUAGUCUGAUCCUUUUAAUACCACCCCACAGGCACCUGAAAACAGACUGACGACGCCCUUACAUUCACACGCUUUCACCCACCCGACCGUAGGAGUCCUAACGUGCAUCAGUAAUUGGGGGGCGGCGGAGGGCAAGGAAAGGCGUGGGUUUGGUUUUUUUUGCCAAUUACGCCCAUUAUUCCGGGUUAGCUAAUCUGGAAUGAAAUGGGAAGAACGUUUGAGUGACAGGAACUGAGGACCAUACCAAAGGGAUGGGGGAGGGAAUGUCAUGAGCCGCCCCCGCCCCCCCCCCAACCAGGAAAGGGACAUCCCAGAGUUUGAAAUGAUUUGGGGGGUAUGCAGAGCAAAAGGGGCGGGGCCACAGCAGGUCUCUAUCUCUCUCCCCCUCCCCCACCGGGAAAGGAGGAAAAGCGGCCAAAAUGCCCCUCCCCCCCUACUGCCCACCGCCGGGAACGGAGACACAGAGGAAGGGCUCGGGGCGGAGAAGUCGGGUGAGGGGGUUACUAAUUUUUAUUUUAUUGGCUUCUCUCCUCACCUCC
Molecule: long non-coding RNA, 2323 nt
Organism: Zootoca vivipara (common lizard)
Lineage: Eukaryota; Metazoa; Chordata; Lepidosauria; Squamata; Lacertidae
Source: RefSeq, a predicted model, not a curated record